UGUAGUGUGUUUAUUCUGUAAACUUGUAAAGAUAUCAAAUUGAAAUAUAGUGUCACAUGAGUUUAAAUGUCAAUUGGAUAUUGUAAUAUAGCCCCUCGUCUUCUCCACAUCAAUAUUUAUAGUAAAUGCUCGUGCUUACGAGAAAUAGUUAGGAUAUUCAUUUAUCUGUUCCUUGUGUGGAACGUAAAAUUACAAACAGUUACAAUUUUAAUUCACACACGGAGCUGUCAAAUUGUUAAUUUUGAUGGAAGUCCUUUUGAAAUG
RNAcentral lists this long non-coding RNA (264 nucleotides) under Mytilus galloprovincialis (Mediterranean mussel). Lineage: Eukaryota; Metazoa; Mollusca; Bivalvia; Mytilida; Mytilidae. The record is from RNAcentral.